Long non-coding RNA from Panicum hallii, 2534 nucleotides. RefSeq lists it as uncharacterized. The transcript has 3 exons. The record is from RefSeq and is a predicted model, not a curated record. Lineage: Eukaryota; Viridiplantae; Streptophyta; Magnoliopsida; Poales; Poaceae.
CCUCCCCAGCUCCCUCUCCGCCUACCUCCGUCGCCCCUCCUCGCCGCCGCUCCUCCUGCUCUCCGCCACCGCCUUGGGGCGUGGCUCGGAGGGAGAUGGCGCGUGCCGGCCGGCCACGGCGCGGCUACUCCAGCGCAUGGAGCAGAGCGACAGCCCUCGCGUGCCCAGCCCCUUGCCUAGCCACACCUUGGAUGCGGAGGAGGCACGACUCGCCGAGGUCGAUGGUGAGGCGGCGACGUGGGCGCAGGAGAGCGUGCUCCUUUGGAGCUACCCCACGCAAGGUGGGAGAUCGAUGGCGGCGUAGGAACAAGGGCGGGCGGCUCUAUGGCUCUGACUGGAAGAGCUUCUCCUCUUCCCCCGGCUCCAGAGGAGGCUCCCGCUCAGGAGGUGACCCAGCUCCUCGCCCGGCCGCCCGCUCACAUUGACCAUUGUCGCGUGCAGCGCUCCUCGCGCCUCCCCAUCCGUGCCCCAUGAUGGUCUGCACCCCUUGGUUGCCUACCACUCCAGUCACCACACCAGAGGCACGUGGCGGAGGCAACCAAGCAGCCAUCCUGCUUCAGCAGGGGAGCCAAGAGGUUGCUGUGCAACACGAUGCAAUUGCACUCAUCAAGAACAUCAUGUAUUCCGCAAAGCAAAGAGGUAAAAUGGAAGAGGUAUUUGGGAAGAACUGCAGAAACACCAUGAGGUGAAAAAACAUUUGCCGACUGGCGUUUGCAAGUUGUUAGGUGAGUUAAUCAUGAAAUGUUCAUAUAAGCAGGUGGCCGCAAUUCCACCUGUCACUGUGAUUAAUUUGAACGUCUGUCAGUGUGUGCUAUUUAGUUCAAGAUCUGAUAGGUAUUGGCCUGGGUUACCAAGCUUACUGCAAGUUGGGAUAUAUGAUUCGUUGGUCUGAACUGUGGCUUGGUUGAUCUAAAUGUUGUAACAUCAAAACAUAUAGAGAUGUGUUAUCUAUCUUUGCACUAAUGAAAUCAUAUUAGAGAAGUACAAAUGAUCACCAGGCACAAGAUUAUUGACUAGGUCACUUUCAAUUACACUCUAUGGUCCCUUCCUUCAGGUUAUGCCUCCCUCCCCCCUUCCCUCUCUUUAGUGCGCAUACUUGCAGGGCCAAUGAGCUUGGUCUAUUUUUCAGAGUUCAAUUAGUAGCUGUAGGUGGAAGUAAUUUUUUUUCCUAAUGAGAAAACUGCAUGGUUGAAUGCAGAUUAAGCAGGAAAUUGAAAUUUUCAAAUCGAAGUUGAUUAAGUACCUUAAUGUUGUUCUCAUACAAUAAUGAUAGAUUGCUGCACACAACUUGUGGUGCUCCAAACUAUGUUGCACCAGAGGUGAUGACGCUUUGCUUUUGCAAUUUACGUGUUCUUACCUAUCCGAUUUGCGAAGAUUAGUUUCCAGCUUGUGAUUCCUUCACUUUCUGGGAAUGCAAAUUACUACAGAGAGUUAAUGCAGCCAUAGUAUACGAUGAUUUAUUGACCUCUCAGUUGUAUGCUAACAAAUGUUUGUAGAACCUGCCAUCGGAAAAGUAUUUUCUAAGGAUCGGAACGCAAGGCUGUUCAGGUAAAUAUUACCUUAGGAAUUCUGGAGUAGCAAACUGAAAUUCUGCUCAGUGUGGCAGUGCCAAGGUUUUAACUAUCUAGCCAAUGGAAAUCUGGAUUAUUGCUAUUAGAUAUGGCAACUACUGCUUGACUGAACAUAAUGAUUUGUCCUGUUUGCUACUACACUAUUUCUGCACUGAUCAUUGAUAAAAAGUAUUCAGGCUCAUGCUGAUGGAAUGUUGAUCUAUAGGUGGUUAUUCUCUGGUUUUGUAUUAAUUAAAAUGUGGUUUUGUAUGAAUUAAAAUGGCUUAGUGGGUACAUAUUUAUUUUCAGAUAAAAAGAAAGAUACAAAUAUCAGGAUCAGGGUAUGGCUGGGCAUCAAUAUUAGGAUCUGGCUUGAUGUUAACUUCUAUAGAUGGUUGUUCUUUGAUUUUGUGAACUAUAUUAUAAAUUGCCUCCGAUUGUAAGAAAACAGAGUCCAGUAAGUGGCUUCCCUUGUGUCCAUUGUAGCAUUAGUCUCUUUACUGUUUGUGACAAAGCUUCUCAAAAAAGAAUACCAUUUUUGUUUGAGGAAGGAAGAAUAGCAUUUGUUUAGGUGAACAUGUAAUGUGGAGGCUUCUUUGGUUCAGGACUGCUUAUGCAAUGGUUCUUAGGUUUCUUUGCAGUCAGGUUACAUAGCCACCAUGAUUAAGCUUACAUCAAACUAUCUCAUAUCUGCCUAUUGCAUUAAUCUUCUGUACAUCCUACUUCCUGUUUUAACUAACAUUUUAUUUAAUGGCUCUUGAAUACAUGGCAUGGCUCUUAUAGAUUUGCUGUUUGUAACAAAGAUUAUCAAGGGACGUACAGUUUCUGCGUUUUCUCAGAAAGAAAAAUGUAUUGUAUUUUUAGAUUUUAAUUGUGAAUGAGCUUUCAUAUGUACCAAAGGGAGUACCUCGAUUCAGUUUAAAACUUGCUGGUGUGUUAUUCUUUUUGACAUGCAUGUAUUUGCUGUUUAAAUCCAACCUUUAA